RNAcentral lists this ribosomal RNA (236 nucleotides) under uncultured bacterium. RNAcentral's name for it is "partial 16S ribosomal RNA". It matches the Rfam family "Bacterial small subunit ribosomal RNA", at positions 118 to 347 of the family's 1533-position model. The record is from RNAcentral.
UGAGGAACAUGACCUUCGGCGGGGGAUAGCCGGCCCAACGGCCGGGUAAUACCGCGUACGACCACUUUGGGACAUCCCUAGGUGGUGAAAGCAGCAAUGCGCCGAUGGAGUGCCUCGCGGCCUAUCAGCUAGUUGGUGAGGUAACGGCUCACCAAGGCGACGACGGGUAGCUGGUCUGAGAGGAUGGCCAGCCACAGUUGGGACUGAGACACGGCCCAGACUCCGUACGGGAGCAG